AACCUUCCUUUAAGUGGGGGAUAGCCCAGAGAAAUUUGGAUUAAUACCCCGUAACAUUAUAGAGUGGCAUCACUUCAUAAUUAUAGAUUUAUCGCUUAGAGAUGGCUGUGCGGCUGAUUAGGUAGUUGGUGAGGGUAACGGCCCACCAAGCCUUCGAUCAGUAACUGGUGUGAGAGCACGACCAGUCACACGGGCACUGAGACACGGGCCCGACUCCUACGGGAGGCAGCAGUAAGGAAUAUUGGUCAAUGGACGCAAGUCUGAACCAGCCAUGCCGCGUGAAG
RNAcentral lists this ribosomal RNA (284 nucleotides) under uncultured bacterium. Its description in RNAcentral is "partial 16S ribosomal RNA". It matches the Rfam family "Bacterial small subunit ribosomal RNA", at positions 123 to 406 of the family's 1533-position model. The record is from RNAcentral.